UACGAACUGCGCGAACGUUAUUCGGAAUCACUGGGCUUACAGGGUGCGUAGGUGGCAUCGAAAGUAGGGUGUGAAAUGCCUUGGCUCAACCGAGGCACAGCGCUCUAAACUACUUUGCUUGAGUGAGUCAGGGGUGCACGGAACUUCCGGUGGAGCGGUGAAAUGUGUUGAUAUCGGAAGGAACACCGGCGGCGAAAGCGGUGCACUGGGGCUUAACUGACACUGAGGCACGAAAGCCAGGGGAGCGAACGGG
This 253-nucleotide ribosomal RNA is filed under the name uncultured bacterium. RNAcentral describes it as "partial 16S ribosomal RNA". It matches the Rfam family "Bacterial small subunit ribosomal RNA", at positions 524 to 776 of the family's 1533-position model. The record is from RNAcentral.